GAUGAACGCUGGCGGCGUGCUUAACACAUGCAAGUCGAACGGUGAAGCAGGAGCUUGCUCUUGUGGAUCAGUGGCGAACGGGUGAGUAACACGUGAGCAACCUGCCCCUGACUCUGGGAUAAGCGCUGGAAACGGCGUCUAAUACUGGAUAUGUGAUGUGACCGCAUGGUCUGCAUCUGGAAAGAAUUUCGGUUGGGGAUGGGCUCGCGGCCUAUCAGCUUGUUGGUGAGGUAAUGGCUCACCAAGGCGUCGACGGGUAGCCGGCCUGAGAGGGUGACCGGCCACACGGGGACUGCGACACGGCCCAGACUCCAACGGGAGGCAGCAGUGGGGAAUAUUGCACAAUGGGCGGAAGCCUGAUGCAGCAACGCCGCGUGAGGGAUGACGGCCUUCGGGUUGUAAACCUCUUUUAGCAGGGAAGAAGCGAAAGUGACGGUACCUGCAGAAAAAGCACCGGCUAACUACGUGCCAGCCGCCGCCGUAA
RNAcentral lists this ribosomal RNA (484 nucleotides) under uncultured bacterium. Its description in RNAcentral is "partial 16S ribosomal RNA". It matches the Rfam family "Bacterial small subunit ribosomal RNA", at positions 28 to 523 of the family's 1533-position model. The record is from RNAcentral.